CUCUCAGCUGAGAUGAAGGGAAUUAUUUUGUAAGCUGUUCCAUCAGAAAACCAAUGCUUUACUGAAAUCACCCCCUCCUAACUCCAGCAUCUCUUGAUACAGAAGUUCCUCCAUACCUAUGAUAGGCCUGCAGCUGCUGGUGGGUGUUAAUUGCCUUGAUGAGCCUCACCUGGGACCACCAUCACACCCUCCACCUGCAGGAGCCCCAUUAUAUAAGCUCAGCUCCAGGCUUCUGGAUCUUUCUUGAGUUCCAGCACUGGCAGACCUGCAUCUUGUCCUGCCUCCUGGAUGGACUGUGGAUCUCUGCUCCAGUGGUGGUGUUCACAAUUUGAUAAGCCAAAAUAAAGUCAAGCCAGGAAAAACA
This 364-nucleotide long non-coding RNA is filed under the name Coturnix japonica (Japanese quail). RNAcentral describes it as "lncRNA (ENSCJPG00005013080.1)". Lineage: Eukaryota; Metazoa; Chordata; Aves; Galliformes; Phasianidae. The record is from RNAcentral.